RNAcentral lists this ribosomal RNA (452 nucleotides) under Acinetobacter tandoii. RNAcentral describes it as "bacterial SSU rRNA". It matches the Rfam family "Bacterial small subunit ribosomal RNA", at positions 54 to 500 of the family's 1533-position model. Lineage: Bacteria; Pseudomonadati; Pseudomonadota; Gammaproteobacteria; Moraxellales; Moraxellaceae. The record is from RNAcentral.
CAUGCAAGUCGAGCGGAGCGAGGGUGCUUGCACCUUAGCUUAGCGGCGGACGGGUGAGUAAUGCUUAGGAAUCUGCCUAUUAGUGGGGGACAACAUUCCGAAAGGGAUGCUAAUACCGCAUACGCCCUACGGGGGAAAGCAGGGGAUCUUCGGACCUUGCGCUAAUAGAUGAGCCUAAGUCGGAUUAGCUAGUUGGUGGGGUAAAGGCCUACCAAGGCGACGAUCUGUAGCGGGUCUGAGAGGAUGAUCCGCCACACUGGGACUGAGACACGGCCCAGACUCCUACGGGAGGCAGCAGUGGGGAAUAUUGGACAAUGGGCGGAAGCCUGAUCCAGCCAUGCCGCGUGUGUGAAGAAGGCCUUUUGGUUGUAAAGCACUUUAAGCGAGGAGGAGGCUCUUAAGGUUAAUACCCUUGAUGAGUGGACGUUACUCGCAGAAUAAGCACCGGCUAA